AAAACAACUUGUUAAUGUACUUUUUUUCAUUUACUUUGCUGCUAGUAUUCAUGGUUAACCCAUAAACCUUCUCUACAAUUUAAUAAAUAUGUUAUUAAACUGAAUUAUCACUGUAAAACUGGGUGCUAUUUUCUGUAAGGAACCUAUCCUUCACAUGAGAUACUACCGCCUCACAGCGUUAAAAAGCCUGAGCUCUACAAGAGGCUCUGCAUGGCAUUGUGGGAGCCCACGUGUCCAGUAUUGGACCCACGCAGGAGCACAAACACACGGUCCUCCGACGUUUUGCUAGCAUUUGCUUUUCUUUCCUGCAGGUUGUCAGCCCGGUCCGGCCUCAGCUCGGCACGUGUUACCGAGCGGAGUCCCCGGCGAAGCAGCUAGCUGCAGAGCUAGGUUCCCUUGGCACAGCAGCAGAACAUGGGGGAUCUGAGGAAGCUUCCUACAGUCGGCCUUUACCUGCAUUUCCUCCCCCUGGUUGGAUGAAACCUCCGCUCGACUUCUCCUUCUGGACCUCCCUUUGACUUUCUGUGCAGCUGUUCAGCUGGACAGCCCUGCUUCAAAACAGCAGAUGCUCAGAUGUGUCUGCUGCUUUAACCUUGUAGAGCAUUGGAUGUAGCCUUUCACUGUCCUUCCUGAGAUCCAGAAUGCAAGUCGCCGAGAUUAAAGCACCUGCAGAUCAUGAAAAUGUCAGCGCCCAGGCCGUCUGUGAGUAAAAUUUGCUGGAUGUUUCAGGUUCUAUUUACCAUAAAAUUAAAAUGAAUGCAGAAACCUGGCUAAUGAAUGAGAAACAGUUACUGUUGUAUCUUUUUCUUUGAAGACGUUAUUUGUCUGUGAACAUGUCACACUAAAAAUAGAAAGAAAUGCUGGUUUUUGCACGUCAGAUUUGCUUUAUUCUGGAAUUGAGAGGGCCACAAAUGUUGCAUUUUGAACAUCCUUUCUGUAUCACCUUCAGCAGUUUCACAUCUGCAACUGCACUGAUGUGUAUAAAUCUCGUAUUUAACUUUUUUCACCCAUUACUCUCAUAUUUAUACAGUUGUUCUUCUUGCCGUUUUUGAAUUUAUUUGCUUUAUCCCCUAUAUUGCUUGGCCAUUGUAACCAUCGCAUUUCUUCAACUAAGGAUAAAUGAAGUCAUAGUCUGAUAUGCCUGUAUCACUGGUGGUUCUUAGAGCGUCUAGAAUGAGAGGUAGAUGGUUUAGUUACAGUAUCAGGCUCCUCUCCUGUGGAACCAACUCCCAGGUUGUGCCUGUGACACAGACACCGUGUCUGCCUUUAAAUCUAGGAAGAAGUUUAGUCUUUUCAAAUAAAACUGUCCUCUAUAAACAAACUGAAGGUACAGUAGAUCAUGCUUUUUUUCUUUUGUUUUUAUCAAAGCCAUUAAAUGAGCUGGGAAAUUCUUCUUGUCACCAGAGUUGUUCCUGUCCACUGUCAUCACGUGUUUGCUCAGGAGGACUGACUGACCUGUAUUAUAAUUACAAGAAAAUGAAUUGCAUGUGAUUAAAGUCUCAUUCACAGACAUAUGCUGUGAGAUUGGCACCAAAUGAAUAAACUGAAUAAUAAUUAUCUCCUAAACUUGUUGAAAAGGCCAGUAUGCGUUUAAAAUUACCCUGUGGGAUCCAAUAAAAAGAACUUGUGGUUUAAUAUUUUUUUCUAUUAUCUCUUGUGUUUUAUUCCUUGUAUUUAUGUUUUAUCUGAUUUCACCUGCUGUCAAGCACUUUGGUUAACCUAGUGGGUUUCUAAAGGGAUAUAAAAAAUAAUGUAUUAUUAAUAUACACCAAUAAACACAGUAACAACAAUGUGUUCUUGUUAUUGAAAAGCUUAUUGAUCUCAGAUGGAUAACAAUCAAAUAUGAUGUCGACACUGAUGUUGAAUGUGUCCAGGUCACUAAUCUUUAAUAAAAAAUAGUUGUUGCUCAAAUCGCCACUGCCAUGCACUAUAGAAGCAGGAGAAGGUUUAUCAAAAACACCACAUUACUUAAAACAAACAUUUGCAGCUGAUUAGGUAAAAGGUGGAAGUUGAACAGGUUCAUUGUGGGGUCAACAGAGACGGACCACCAAACAAACACACAGACACCCCCACUGGAGGACCGUUUAGAGUGGCCAGUAAAGAUAAAAUGCAAUCUUGUGAAAUGUGACAGAAAACGGCACUACUAGGAAAAUACUAACACACACAUGGGGCGAACACUCAAAGUCCACACAAAAUGGCCCUAAGUGAGAUUUGAACCCAAAGUCUUCUUAGAAUUCAUUAAUGACCACUGAUUUCAGCUCACGUAUGACGUAAACAUAGCUUGACAUUGACUAACCAGUCAUUUGUUAUUUGGGAAGUAAUUCCGUACAUCAAGAAGUUCAUGAUGAGAAACAGGAAAUCCUUCCAUGAACUCCAUCGUGAUCCAGACAUUUCAUUUGUACCGUUAUAAAAUCCUACCUACUGAUUUGAACUGGUGGUCACUUGCUCCAUCCUAGACUUUGUGUC
Poecilia reticulata (guppy) is the source of this 2466-nucleotide non-coding RNA. Lineage: Eukaryota; Metazoa; Chordata; Actinopteri; Cyprinodontiformes; Poeciliidae. The record is from RefSeq and is a predicted model, not a curated record.